This is a long non-coding RNA of Megalobrama amblycephala (Wuchang bream), 1267 nucleotides long. RefSeq lists it as uncharacterized. NCBI's taxonomy places the organism in Eukaryota, Metazoa, Chordata, Actinopteri, Cypriniformes, Xenocyprididae. The record is from RefSeq and is a predicted model, not a curated record. The transcript has 3 exons.
UGCUCCUAUAAACAUAAGCUCAUCUGCGUUUUCACAGAUUCACCUGCAAUCUACAGGCAGAUAUCACGUAGAAUUAAACCUGGUGGAUUCUCUGAAAUUUCAGAUGUCUUGUGUGAGAUCACAUCUCAAGGUAAAAGCCCACCACAUGAGAGCUUGGACAACGUGUUAAGAAGUGACAUAAAAAGAAACAAACUGAGCAAACACCUAACGCCUAAACAUGCAGCCAUUCCAUUUCAAUGAGGAUGAAUAUACUGACUGCACUUUGUAUCACCCUCUGCUUUUCCCCCUCUAUCCCAUCAACUGAAGUAACCAUUCUGACCUUUAGAGGAUGCUGUUGUCAUUAGGACGAGGCCUAUUUGUGAGCAAACGCUCUUAUUCUCACUUUUUCCUCAUUUCUACUAUUCUCUGUGCUGAAUGGAUCCCUUCACCUGCAUGGAGUGGUUUUCCAUUAGUAGCAAAAGCAGUUCGAAAAGAGAAAGAUUGAGCGCAUAUUUAUAAUGCCACACCAAAUGGUUCCCCGACGCAGUGAAGCGUGACUGUGAAAAUGGAUUAUCGUGCAGAAUCAAGCCAAACACUGUCAAGAGUGUGCUGCACUGAUGCUGACGUUAAACAGCUUACAAACACAACUGCAACUGCACCUGAAUCACUCCAGGGAUUCAGAUUUUUUUCAUUCCCAGACUGCCAACCUAAUUUUUCAGAGUGUUUCAUAGGCUUGUAAACAUAAGUGUUUCCUGAAUAACUCUCUUUCUUGGUCCUUAUUUAGGAUUUACUGUUUAGGAAAAAGAUGUUUUUACUAAAGUACUGAAAGGAACUAAUUGGAAAAUCUGAAUCAAUCUGGCCGACUGGACCUGAGUGUGGUGUGAUUAAAACUGUCUUCUACACCCAAUCAGACAAAUCAAUGUCAUUUUGUCAAUUGUGUUUCCUAAACAGACUUAAAAGCAGGACCGUUAUCACUAAAUUCUGUCAUCAUUUACUCUCACCCUUAUGUUGUUCCAAGUCUGUAUGAAAACCAGAUAUUUUGAAGAACUGUUUGUGUUCAUGCAUUCAAAGUCAAUGGGGACCAAAACAACUUUGGACCCCACUGGCUUUCAUUUAUGGACAAAAAAAGCAAUGAGACAUUUUGUGUACUGAAGACAGAAAGAAAGAAAGUUAUAAAGAUUUGAAAAAGAAAAUGUGGCUACAUUAUUGAAAAAAUCUGACCAAAAUCUCUGGUAACAUGUAAUGAAGCUUUUUACGCAGACGUUAGUUGCAUUUUAAUCCCCUGAAG